CUACGGGUCGCAGCAGUGAGGAAUUUUGCGCAAUGGGGGGAACCCUGACGCAGCAACGCCGCGUGGAGGAUGACGCAUUUCGGUGUGUAAACUCCUUUUAUAUGUCAAGAAAAUGACGGUAGCAUAUGAAUAAGCACCGGCUAACUCCGUGCCAGCAGCCGCGGUAAUACGGAGGGUGCAAGCGUUACUCGGAAUCACUGGGCGUAAAGGACGCGUAGGCGGGUUGGAAAGUCAGGUGUGAAAUCCUACAGCUUAACUGUAGAACUGCACUUGAAACUUCUAAUCUAGAGUAUGGGAGGGGGAGAUGGAAUUAGUGGUGUAGGGGUAAAAUCCGUAGAUAUCACUAGGAAUACCUAAAGCGAAGGCGAUCUCCUGGAACAUUACUGACGCUAAGGCGUGAAAGCGUGGGGAGCAAACAGGAUUAGAUACCCGGGUAGUC
Molecule: ribosomal RNA, 439 nt
Filed under: uncultured bacterium
Lineage: Bacteria
Description: partial 16S ribosomal RNA
Rfam family: Bacterial small subunit ribosomal RNA
Source: RNAcentral